RNAcentral lists this long non-coding RNA (348 nucleotides) under Chinchilla lanigera (long-tailed chinchilla). RNAcentral describes it as "lncRNA (ENSCLAG00000026461.1)". The record is from RNAcentral. Lineage: Eukaryota; Metazoa; Chordata; Mammalia; Rodentia; Chinchillidae.
CACAGCCAGCCAGACAGAAGGCUACCGCCCUCUAGCAGCCUUGCAGUUAACACUCUCCUUGCCCAGCCCUUGCAAGGAGGCCUCUCUCGUGGCCUCUCCACAGCCACAGCAGGCCUCUUUCAUCGGCACCCUUUUGGAGACAACCCUGACCUGUCCUUUCCGGGGCACUGUCCAGGUUUCAUUACAGAGCCCCCCAGUGACUGCUUCGGAGCCUUGCCUUCCACUAUUUGAUUCUGAUUCUCUGGAGAACUCUAACAGACAGAAGUUAGGAGGAACAAUGACACACAGGAAGAACAGGGGUAAAGCAAGAUGGCAGAGACAUCUCUAGAUCUGCAGCGCCUUUCCAGA